This 253-nucleotide ribosomal RNA is filed under the name uncultured bacterium. Its description in RNAcentral is "partial 16S ribosomal RNA". It matches the Rfam family "Bacterial small subunit ribosomal RNA", at positions 524 to 776 of the family's 1533-position model. The record is from RNAcentral.
UACGGGGGGGGCAAGCGUUGUUCGGAAUUACUGGGCGUAAAGGGCUCGUAGGCGGCCAACUAAGUCAGACGUGAAAUCCCCAGGCUUAACCUGGGAACUGCGUCUGAUACUGGAUGGCUUGAAUCCGGGAGAGGGAUGCAGAAUUCCAGGUGUAGCGGUGAAAUGCGUAGAUAUCUGGAGGAAUACCGGUGGCGAAGGCGGCAUCCUGGACCGGCAUUGACGCUGAGGAGCGAAAGCAUGGGGAGCGAACAGG